UAAAAAUUGAAAACUUUCCAAAAAUAGCAGUUUUUAAGAAAAUUAUUUAUAAAUACUAUAUACAGAUGAAAAAUUGUGAAAGCAUACUCAUCUAUCCUAAAAUAUUCUUGUUAUCCUAAUUUCUAAUUCACAAACCCAAAUCUACAGUAUUUCUCAAAAAAUUGUAAACUUUCCAAAAAUAGCAGUUUUUAAGAAAAUUAUUUAUAAAUACUAUAUACAGAUGAAAAAUUCUGAAACAAUACUAGAUU
Molecule: long non-coding RNA, 248 nt
Filed under: Brassica napus (rape)
Lineage: Eukaryota; Viridiplantae; Streptophyta; Magnoliopsida; Brassicales; Brassicaceae
Description: long non-coding RNA (BNAP_LNC012732)
Source: RNAcentral